RNAcentral lists this ribosomal RNA (479 nucleotides) under uncultured anaerobic ammonium-oxidizing bacterium. Its description in RNAcentral is "bacterial SSU rRNA". It matches the Rfam family "Bacterial small subunit ribosomal RNA", at positions 364 to 833 of the family's 1533-position model. The record is from RNAcentral.
UUUCGCAAUGCCCGAAAGGGUGACGAAGCGACGCCGCGUGAGUGAGGAAGGCCUUCGGGUUGUAAAGCUCUGUCAGGAGUUAAGAAAUAUAAGUGUGCUAAUACCACAUUUAUUUGACAAAAGCUCCAAAGGAAGCCACGGCUAACUCUGUGCCAGCAGCCGCGGUAAUACAGAGGUGGCAAGCGUUGUUCGGAAUUAUUGGGCGUAAAGAGCACGUAGGUGGGUUUGUAAGUCAGAUGUGAAAGCCUUCUGUUCAACGGAAGAAUUGCAUCUGAAACUGCGAGUCUUGAGUGUAGGAGGGGAGAAUGGAACUUCUGGUGGAGCGGUGAAAUGCGUAGAUAUCAGGAGGAACGCCGGCGGCGAAAGCGAUUCUCUGGCCUAUUACUGACACUCAGUGUGCGAAAGCUAGGGGAGCAAACGGGAUUAGAUACCCCGGUAGUCCUAGCUGUAAACGAUGGGCACUAAGUAGAGGGGUUUUA